GAGCCAGCAGGGCUUAUGAAAAGGGAAAUGACUCAUCGGCACGUGCAUAUUUAUGGAAGAAAGCCCCAGGCUGUUGAAUGGGGCUAACUCCGCACGGAAGGGUGCACAAGAUCGCAGUUAAAAUACUGUACAGAAAAUGAAAAGGGGAAACCUCGGCCAGUUUUACAAAGCGUAAGGAUUUCCAGUAGCUAAAGAGGGACGAAGCGGAAAAAUUCUAAAAAGAUGUGUCAGAAGUGGGAUUUGAACCCACGCCUCCAUUGGGAGACCAGAACACCCAGGAAAGGGAAAGAUUGACUCGUAGGACACUGGAGACAUAGGGACCCUGCUUCCAAAAAAGUAAAGGGUCUAAGAUCCCCCGAGACCCUGGAUGACUACACCCCUAUUCACCUCCAGUGCAGAGACGGGUCAGAAAUACCUACCCCAGCAGAGGCUGAUUUGAAGGAAACAGGACCAGUGCAGUGGAUCAUGCAGUGGGCAGUGUCAUGGCCCUGCCCUAGAAUUUGGAGCCAGAGAAGGAAGAUGGCCCAGCUGAGACCAGAGUUGCUGUGCUUCUGACUGGGGAACUGGACCAGGUCCUGGCAAUAAGCCUGAGGAUGGUGGCUGAUAGCCCACUGAGCUUGGAGCUAGCUGGCAGAGGCUGCAGAACAGAUGCCCACAGGAGCAGAAACAGGAUCCUCAUGAGUAUCUUCCCCCGAGCCUGGGGGAUUGAGUGCCUCUUGUAUCACCACAGCUGCCCAAUGAUGCAGGAGGUCAGUGACGAAAAGCAGCUAUUGUCUUCAGGUCAGAGGAACAGCCCUUUAAGAAUCUACAUCUUUCAAGCAAGGAGGCAGAGCUUAGAAGGGGGGAGGGGGGAGGUAGAGGUUCAUAUAAGGCUUUUGUCUGAGCAAGUUGCUCACAAGGGGUUGUCCACAGUGCUGCAGCAGCUUGC
Molecule: long non-coding RNA, 928 nt
Organism: Rhineura floridana
Lineage: Eukaryota; Metazoa; Chordata; Lepidosauria; Squamata; Rhineuridae
Exons: 3
Source: RefSeq, a predicted model, not a curated record